UAGGGAAUCUUCGGCAAUGGACGAAAGUCUGACCGAGCAACGCCGCGUGAGUGAAGAAGGUUUUCGGAUCGUAAAACUCUGUUGUUAGAGAAAAACAAGGACGUUAGUAACUGAACGUCCCCUGACGGUAUCUAACCAGAAAGCCACGGCUAACUACGUGCCAGCAGCCGCGGUAAUACGUAGGUGGCAAGCGUUGUCCGGAUUUAUUGGGCGUAAAGCGAGCGCAGGCGGUUUCUUAAGUCUGAUGUGAAAGCCCCCGGCUCAACCGGGGAGGGUCAUUGGAAACUGGGAGACUUGAGUGCAGAAGAGGAGAGUGGAAUUCCAUGUGUAGCGGUGAAAUGCGUAGAUAUAUGGAGGAACACCAGUGGCGAAGGCGGCUCUCUGGUCUGUAACUGACGCUGAGGCUCGAAAGCGUGGGGAGCAAACAGG
This 429-nucleotide ribosomal RNA is filed under the name Gemmatimonadota bacterium. Its description in RNAcentral is "Gemmatimonadetes bacterium partial 16S ribosomal RNA". It matches the Rfam family "Bacterial small subunit ribosomal RNA", at positions 355 to 776 of the family's 1533-position model. Lineage: Bacteria; Pseudomonadati; Gemmatimonadota. The record is from RNAcentral.